AGCGAACGCUGGCGGCAGGCUUAACACAUGCAAGUCGAGCGGGCAUCCUUGUGGUGUCAGCGGCAGACGGGUGAGUAACGCGUGGGAACGUGCCCUUCGGUUCGGAAUAACUCAGGGAAACUUGAGCUAAUACCGGAUACGUGCGAGAGCAGAAAGGUUUAUCUGCCGAAGGAUCGGCCCGCGUCUGAUUAGCUAGUUGGUGAGGUUAUGGCUCACCAAGGCGACGAUCAGUAGCUGGUCUGAGAGGAUGAUCAGCCACACUGGGACUGAGACACGGCCCAGACUCCUACGGGAGGCAGCAGUGGGGAAUAUUGGACAAUGGGGGCAACCCUGAUCCAGCCAUGCCGCGUGAGUGAUGACGGCCUUAGGGUUGUAAAGCUCUUUUCUCCGGGACGAUAAUGACGGUACCGUAGGAAUAAGCCCCGGCUAACUUCGUG
RNAcentral lists this ribosomal RNA (437 nucleotides) under uncultured bacterium. RNAcentral describes it as "partial 16S ribosomal RNA". It matches the Rfam family "Bacterial small subunit ribosomal RNA", at positions 29 to 507 of the family's 1533-position model. The record is from RNAcentral.